RNAcentral lists this ribosomal RNA (492 nucleotides) under uncultured bacterium. Its description in RNAcentral is "partial 16S ribosomal RNA". It matches the Rfam family "Bacterial small subunit ribosomal RNA", at positions 29 to 507 of the family's 1533-position model. The record is from RNAcentral.
AGUGAACGCUGGCGGUAGGCCUAACACAUGCAAGUCGAACGGCAGCACAGUAAGAGCUUGCUCUUACGGGUGGCGAGUGGCGGACGGGUGAGGCAUACAUCGGAAUCUACUUUUUCGUGGGGGAUAACGUAGGGAAACUUACGCUAAUACCGCAUACGACCUACGGGUGAAAGCAGGGGAUCUUCGGACCUUGCGCGAUUGAAUGAGCCGAUGUCGGAUUAGCUAGUUGGCGGGGUAAAGGCCCACCAAGGCGACGAUCCGUAGCUGGUCUGAGAGGAUGAUCAGCCACACUGGAACUGAGACACGGUCCAGACUCCUACGGGAGGCAGCUGUGGGGAAUAUUGGACAAUGGGCGCAAGCCUGAUCCAGCCAUACCGCGUGGGUGAAGAAGGCCUUCGGGUUGUAAAGCCCUUUUGUUGGGAAAGAAAAGCAGCAGGUUAAUACCCCGCUGUUCUGACGGUACCCAAAGAAUAAGCACCGGCUAACUUCGUG